Molecule: ribosomal RNA, 484 nt
Filed under: uncultured bacterium
Lineage: Bacteria
Description: partial 16S ribosomal RNA
Rfam family: Bacterial small subunit ribosomal RNA
Source: RNAcentral
AUUGAACGCUGGCGGCAUGCUUUACACAUGCAAGUCGAACGGCAGCGCGGGCUUCGGCCUGGCGGCGAGUGGCGAGCGGGUGAGUAAUGCAUCGGAACGUGCCCAGUAGUGGGGGAUAGCCCGGCGAAAGCCGGAUUAAUACCGCAUACGACCUGAGGGUGAAAGCGGGGGACCGAAAGGCCUCGCGCUAUUGGAGCGGCCGAUGUCGGAUUAGCUAGUUGGUGGGGUAAAGGCUUACCAAGGCGACGAUCCGUAGCUGGUCUGGGAGGACGACCAGCCACACUGGGACUGAGACACGGCCCAGACUCCUACGGGAGGCAGCAGUGGGGAAUUUUGGACAAUGGGGGCAACCCUGAUCCAGCCAUGCCGCGUGCGGGAAGAAGGCCUUCGGGUUGUAAACCGCUUUUGUUCGGGAAGAAAUCCUCUGGGCUAAUACCCCGGGGGGAUGACGGUACCGGAAGAAUAAGCACCGGCUAACUACGUG